Lepidothrix coronata (blue-crowned manakin) is the source of this 5422-nucleotide RNA transcript. It is a transcript of the gene named POZ/BTB and AT hook containing zinc finger 1, with no coding region annotated. The transcript is spliced from 8 exons. The record is from RefSeq and is a predicted model, not a curated record. Lineage: Eukaryota; Metazoa; Chordata; Aves; Passeriformes; Pipridae.
AUGGAGCGGGUGAGCGAGGCCGCCGCCUGCGGCCCCUCGUCGGGCUGCUACACCUACCAGGUGAGCCGGCACAGCGCCGACGUGCUGCACAGCCUCAACCAGCAGCGCAAGAACGGCGGCCGCUUCUGCGACGUGCUCCUCCGCGUGGGCGACGAGAGCUUCCCGGCGCACCGCGCCGUGCUGGCCGCUUGCAGCGAGUACUUCGAGUCGGUGUUCAGCGCCCAGCUGGGCGACGGGGCAGGUGGCGGCGGCGGCGGCGCGGACGGGAGCGCGGCGGAGGCGGCGGCGGCCGGCGGGGCUGCGGCGGCGACCGGCGGCGCCCCCGGGGGCGGGCGGGAGCUGGAGAUGCACACCAUCAGCUCCAAGGUGUUCGGAGACAUCCUGGACUUCGCCUACACGUCGCGCAUCGUGGUGCGGCUGGAGAGCUUCCCGGAGCUCAUGACGGCCGCCAAGUUCCUGCUGAUGCGCUCGGUGAUUGACAUCUGCCAGGAGGUCAUCAAGCAGUCCAACGUGCAGCUCCUCGUGCCCCCCGCGCGCCCUGACAUUAUGCUGUUCCGUCCGGGGGCUGCCGACCUCGGCUUCCCUCUUGACAUGACCAACGGUGCCGCUUUGGCGCCCAAUGGCAACGGCAUCGCCGGCAUGCCCGAAGACGAGGCCACGCGGGCCGCACUCAGCGCCGCUCAGUCCUCCCUGCCCGUGCUGCAGGGCGUGGACCGCCUGCCCAUGGUGGCAGGACCUCUGUCCCCACCGCUGCUGGCCUCGCCCUUCCAGAACGUUGCUGCUAGUGCCCCCACUUUAGGCACCAAGAGGGGCAGAGGGCGUCCCCGCAAAGCCAACCUCUUGGACUCCAUGAUGUUUGGUACCCCCGGGGGCCUGCGAGAGGCCGGUAUCCUGCCUUGUGGCCUCUGUGGGAAAGUGUUUACGGAUGCUAAUCGUCUUCGGCAGCACGAGGCUCAACAUGGGGUGACGAGCUUACAGCUGGGCUACAUAGACAUCCCACCCCCCAGACUGGGUGAAAAUGGUGUCCCUGGUCAGGAUGACCCCGAUGCACCCCGGAAAAGAAGCAGGACGAGGAAACAGGUGGCCUGUGAGAUCUGUGGCAAGAUUUUUCGGGACGUGUACCACCUGAAUCGGCACAAGCUGUCGCACUCUGGCGAGAAGCCGUACUCUUGUCCAGUGUGUGGCUUGCGGUUCAAGCGGAAAGACAGGAUGUCCUAUCAUGUUCGAUCUCACGAUGGCUCUGUGGGAAAGCCCUACAUCUGCCAGAGCUGUGGAAAAGGCUUUUCCAGGCCAGACCACUUGAAUGGACACAUCAAACAGGUGCAUACCUCAGAGAGACCUCACAAGUGUCAGCAGGAAAAUGGCAGCCACCAUGGAAUAAGCUCAGAGACAUCCACAUCCAUAGAAAAGUUGAAACUUCAAGAGACUUGUAAUGCUUCCUUUGCCACUCGUGACCGGCUGCGCUCACACCUGGCCUGUCAUGAAGACAAAGUCCCAUGCCAGGUGUGUGGGAAGUACUUGAGAGCAGCAUAUAUGGCAGAUCACUUGAAGAAGCAUAGUGAAGGACCAAGCAAUUUCUGCACUAUCUGUAACCGAGGUUUCUCCUCUGCCUCCUACUUAAAGGUCCAUGUUAAAACCCACCACGGUGUUCCCCUUCCCCAGGUCUCCAGGCACCAGGAGUCCAUCCCGAAUGGGGGAGCAGCGUUCCACUGCGUCAGGACCUAUGGCAUCAAAGAAGGCCAGAAAUGUUCCCAUUCGGACCCGAUUGAGAGUUCUGAUUCAUACGGAGACCUCUCUGACACCAGUGACCUCAAGACUCCUGAGAAACAGAGCACCAACGGGUCCUUCUCGUGUGAGCUGGCAGUGAGCAAAAACAAAAUGGAGACGGAAGGGGAGAAGAAAUACCCGUGCCCUGAGUGCGGCAGCUUUUUCAGAUCCAAGUCUUAUCUGAACAAACACAUACAGAAAGUUCACGUCAGGGCCCUGGGUGGCCCCUUGGGGGACCUGGGUCCUGCUCUGGGAUCCCCCUUCUCACCCCAACAGAACAUGUCUCUCCUGGAGUCCUUUGGGUUUCAGAUCGUCCAGUCAGCAUUUGCAUCAUCCCUGGUGGAUCCAGAGGUCGACCAGCAACCGAUGGGGCCAGAGGGGAAAUGAGAUCAGUGUGAUCUUAGCAAAGCAAAGCAGCAGUCUGGCUAUAGUGAUAAGAUGCUGUGAAUGAAAGAGGAAAUAAUGGAAUUGGGUUCUAUAGCUGAGAAUUUUUUAUUCAUUUUAGCUUCCCUCUUUGUCUCAUGCCCAACCCCCACCUUUAAACUUCCACCGGGGAGAGGGAGAAGAUGCUUCUUAGCUGAUAAAUUACAGAAGAUGGUGGCCUUGAAUAGGAGACAUGACCCAAAACACUAAAUGGAGCUUUAGAGGCUGCUGCUGGUGUUUCUCCAUGUUCUUCUGGAAUAAUGAGAAGUUGCCAGCACUGGUGUGAGAACGAGACAGUCCUAGUGACCGAGGCACCUGGGGAGCUACAGCUACAGGGAGCUAUGGUUUUGUUCUCUCUCUAUUCCCCACCCUCCCUAAACUACCCCAGAAAAACAGUAAGUUUUAAAAACAGACCCACUAUUGAAUAACAUUAAGUAAAAUGCCCCGUGGUUCCUAGCAGGUUACAAUGCAGUUGUCCUUUUAAAACCAGAAAAAAGUUUAAAGGAGGUGAGAGAAUUCGAACCCCUUCUGCCUUUGUGAGGCUGUGAGUGCUGCAGCAGGACUGAACUGCUGAGAAAAAUCACCUUUCAGAACAGGUUGUUUUCAUUACUUUUGACCAUUAAACUUGCUGUCAGGUUUUUAAUUCUUUAUUAUUAUUAUUUUAGGACCUGUUGUAGUGAAUUGCUACUGAAAAGCCAGUCUAAGGCGAUACGCAGAGCACUCGUAAAGCAGCAGUCACAUUAGGCACCAGCACUUUCUAAAUUGAGAGCAUGUUGCAGUGGACUUGAUGUUUUGCUAUUAAUCUGUGUUGGGAGACUGAAGGACAUGUUCUUCUCCAGUCAUCUUCUCCCAGAAUCCCUGGAAUAGGUAUGAGUCUCAUGUAAAAGGAAAAAAAGCAAGCAAGCAAGCAAACAAACCCACCUUCAGACUAAAGCUUCAUGGAAUUGCUGUUGCUGUACUGGUGCUUGCUUGAGGAAGUAGAUGCCAAAGUAAACUUCAAAGGAACUCCAGACUUCAGUGUUGGAAGAAUGAACAGAGAGCAAGAGCUCUCUUUGGGUUUCAUGAGAGAUAAAUGGACAAAGUAAAAAAACAGCCACCAAAAUUCUAAGUCAUGAAACAGGACAGAAAACAAGAAAAGGCUUUUCUUUACCACCCACAAAAACAAUCAGAUAUUUUCAAUUGUUCAGCGUGGCAGAAACUCUGAGAGCAAGUGCCAAACAAUCCCAUGGAAUGUGCUGACUUUUUCAGCAUUAUCAUACCUUAACAGCAUUAUCAAUAUCCAAAUGUAAAUCAAGCCAGCUUUGUACUGUUCACCUUUUGCCUGGGCACAAUACCUGAGGUUUAAUGAACAGAACAUAAGCUCACAGUGAAUCUCUGAGCUUAUGCUCUCAGUUCCACUCUGAGAGACAAAACAAAUGAGCAAAGAGGGAAAAAAAAAAAAACAAUAGGAAAACUUAAAACAGAUUCUGGAAGAUUCCAGUGUCUCCUGAGAGAGUCACGGUUCUUUAUCCUGAACAUCCUUUUCAAAACAAGAUCCUUCAGCUGUUGUGAGUGAGCCUUUGGGAACAGAUUUGGCUUCCAGCCCAGUGUGCUGCAGCUCCCUGUCCCUGUAAGAAGGCGGCGUGUCUGGAGCACUGGGCCUGGACCCGGAGGGAGGGAGGCAGGCACGGAGCAGGGAUGCUCCUGGGAUGAGCCACAGGUACUGCCACAGUCAGCAGCACCACACUGGAAUGGUGUCCUCCUGCCUGCUCCCCUGACACCCUCACCCUCCUCACAUCCCUGUGCCAGUGUGGUACCUACCCGGAUGUGCCCAGCUCUGCAAAUAACUGUGAGCUCUAAAACAAACCAGGGAACUAUUUGGCUAAAAAGAAAAAAAACCCAACCACUUAAAAAUAGUGAUGUGACAUAACUGCAGAGUGAUGCAGAGCAGGAGCAGGAGCCCUGGCUGUGAGGGGUUGUGGUGAUGGCUGGAAUGGUUUUGGAAUGUUAGUGGAAAACCACAGUUGUGAGCUCUGUGUAGUGGGCAGUGACUGCCUGUUUGUAAAGAAUUAACACCCUGUGUCAUCUCCAGCCUCUUCCUGUGUUUGGUUCCUGUCUGUAAAAUGAGAUGAUGAUAACCCUGGGAUAAGGACGUGCCAGUAUUUGAUUGACAUGCCAAAUUGUGCUGCACAGUCGUGGUGCUGAACUCUGCUACAAAUGUUUGGCCUCACUGACUUCAGGUGUAAUGCAAAGUUAAACAAACAUCUGGCUACAUUUUCCCUGAAAGGUGAGAUAUUUAAAUUCAUUUAAAGGCUGCCUGGCACUAUCGAUCUGCUCUCAGGGUUAAUGUGAAUGAAGCUUUUCCUGGUACUACAAUUUUGGAGACCUGGAGGUGCUCUGAGCUGAGAUGUGCUGAAGGAAGGAGGUAACUGGUACCUUCACUGAUGUUCCAGUGACCCCCUCCCACCUCCUGGUUUCCAUGUGGAACCUACAGCCACUGGCAGCCAGAAUUGCUCUUGAGCAUCCUGCAGUCACACAGUGACCUUGGGUAAGUGACUUUACAAUAAAUCAGUCUCAUGCUUGCUAACAGCUUUUUGGCUGCUGCGUCCACAAACUGGUGCCUUCUCCAGGCAAUUUUUCCAUACCCUCUGCAAAGCUGUCAGACUGACUGCUGGCUCUGGGGGAAUCAACCAGGCCUUGCUCUUGGGCUCACAGUUGCUCUUCGGUACUGUUGUAAUCUGAAAGUUUGCUGCAAUUAGUGCAAAUACCAGAGGGAGAAAAUAAAAGGCUGUUCUCAGAUGUCCUGUAGAGUGAACAACUGAAACAUGAGUGUGGGAUGAGCCAGGAAAACUGGCAUUUUUCCCUGGCUGCACGCCAUAGGGAAGAGACAGUGCCUUGGAAGGGAAGGAGCAGAAAAGUUUGCCAUUGGCUCUGAUGAAUCCCAAUCCUGCUUCUACUGAAGUUGUUGGGAAUCCUCCCAUUGUCUUCAGUGUGAGCAAGAAAGGAUCUUAGGUGAGGAUGGAUGACUCUUUCCCUACUUGAAUGAAGUCUCUUGCCUAUUUAUGGGCCUGCUUCUAUUGAAACCGAGCCUGUUUUAGCCUUUUUGGGUUCUUAGGGACCUGUUUGUAUAAAGCAACUUACCUACCUAUCUUUUUUUUUUCUAUUGUGUGUAUUUUUUGUAUGUUCUGUUGGAAGGUGAAGCCUCUGUAGAAGGGGAUACAAAACCUGAUUUUUAAAUAGUAAUAAACCAAAA